GGGCCAGACUCCUACGGGAGGCAGCAGUGGGGAAUAUUGGGCAAUGGGCGCAAGCCUGACCCAGCAACGCCGCGUGAAGGAUGAAGGUUUUCGGAUUGUAAACUUCUGUCGCGAGGGACGAAGAAUGACGGUACCUCGUAAGAAAGCCCCGGCUAACUACGUGCCAGCAGCCGCGGUAAUACGUAGGGAGCAAGCGUUGUCCGGAUUUACUGGGUGUAAAGGGUGCGUAGGCGGCCCUGCAAGUCAGAAGUGAAAUCCAUGGGCUUAACCCGUGAACUGCUUUUGAAACUGUAGGGCUUGAGUGAAGUAGAGGCAGGCGGAAUUCCCGGUGUAGCGGUGAAAUGCGUAGAGAUCGGGAGGAACACCAGUGGCGAAGGCGGCCUGCUGGGCUUUAACUGACGCUGAAGCACGAAAGCGUGGGUAGCAAACAGGAUUAGAUACCCUAGUAAA
Molecule: ribosomal RNA, 450 nt
Filed under: uncultured bacterium
Lineage: Bacteria
Description: bacterial SSU rRNA
Rfam family: Bacterial small subunit ribosomal RNA
Source: RNAcentral